AAAUGCCCUGGAGGUCUGGCUGCCACAUCUGUCACCCCAUUGAUCGCUGGGGUUGAUUCUGCUGAUCUGGCUGGAUAGGCAGGUGUCCCCUUCCUCCCUCCCAGCUCCUCGUGUGUCCCUCCCAAUGUUGCGCGCUUGGUCGAAGAGGACGGCCUUCACCGAAUAGAGAUGGACCGGUCUUUGGUCAAGGGUAUACAAGUAGCUGCACUCCCUUGUUCAUGACCAACCUAAACUGCAAGAAGGGCUGUGAAAUCGAAGACUUUGCAACACCUAUAGCACAAGAAAAGAGAUCU
This 293-nucleotide small nuclear RNA is filed under the name Sorex araneus (European shrew). Its description in RNAcentral is "7SK RNA (ENSSARG00000017915.1)". The stretch from base 1 to 262 matches the Rfam family "7SK RNA". Rfam says of the family: 7SK was discovered as an abundant small nuclear RNA in the mid-70s but a possible function has only recently been suggested. Two independent studies have found that 7SK RNA binds the CDK9/cyclin T complex (known as elongation factor P-TEFb). The record is from RNAcentral. Lineage: Eukaryota; Metazoa; Chordata; Mammalia; Eulipotyphla; Soricidae.